This is a non-coding RNA of Lates calcarifer (barramundi perch), 1055 nucleotides long. The record is from the annotation of a RefSeq genome assembly. NCBI's taxonomy places the organism in Eukaryota, Metazoa, Chordata, Actinopteri, Centropomidae.
ACAAUUCCAUGUGUUUGGUUCACAAAAACUAGAAGCCGAUUUUUGGGAGCAUAAGACAAUUAGUAGAUCAGUUUGGUAGAGUCCUGUGGUCCAGUCUAACACAGAUGUUGAACAGGGUGGUGAAUGUCCAAUAAAGACUUUAUGGAUGAAAAGAUACAAGUGUUUAUCACACCUCAACACGACAGAGGACCAAACAACUUUGUUAUACAGAAUGUAAUGGUGAGAGUCAAAGAGAUCUCUGGCAAUGAAUCUGAUAAACUGAGUCUAGGAGGUUUGAGAUUAGAAACAGCAUAGUCUGUAGUACAUAAAAUUAAGAAUGAAGACAUCCUGAUCAAUAUUCUGAUUGAUCCAUUGAUAAACAUCAUCAUCAGAGUGAUCCAGCUCUCUGUUGGAGUCAGUCAGAGCAUUUCCAUAGAGAGCCACUUUGCAUCAGCAGCACCAUGCUCCAGUGCUCUGGGAGAGUUUAUAGUCCUGAGAGUUGAAGACUGGAUGACUGACAGCUGUCCUUCAUGACAACAGAAGCCACAGAAAUCCUCCUCAUCAAAAACAUGACUUUGAUCUCCGUCCUCAUCUGGACUCUCCUCUGCUGCUGCUUCACAGAGUCCAGAGGCCAGGUCACAGUGACUCAGUCUGGAGCAGUGAGAUCUGCUGUGGGAGGCUCCGUCACCAUCACAUGUAGAACCAGUCAGAACGUUCAUGCUGGAGCUUACCAUGACUCAUACUGGUACCAAUACAAAUAUGGAGAAACUCCUAAACUGCUCAUUUAUGGGGCCUCUCAUAGAGCAUCAGGGAUUCCAGAUCGUUUUACAGGCAGUGGAUCAAACUCUGACUUCACUCUGACCAUCAGUGGAGUCCAGGCUGAAGAUGCAGCAGUUUACUACUGUAAGGGUCAUUUCAAUGCAAACGGCCAGUGGUUGUUCACACAAUGAAAAAGCGUCGUACAAAAACCUCCCUCAGUCAGACUGAACAGAAACUGAAGUGACUGCUGCAGCUGGAAGCUACUGCAGAGACUGAUACAGUUCACUGAGGACACACACACACACACACACACACAC